GCUGGCAAAUGAUGUAAAAUCAAAAAAUCACUUAUACUACACACUGAAUUAACUGCAGACAUAAUCUCCGCUUAUUAUCUGAUGCCUUC
Small nucleolar RNA from Ziziphus jujuba (common jujube), 89 nucleotides. RefSeq annotates it as small nucleolar RNA R16. NCBI's taxonomy places the organism in Eukaryota, Viridiplantae, Streptophyta, Magnoliopsida, Rosales, Rhamnaceae. The transcript has a single exon. The record is from RefSeq and is a predicted model, not a curated record.